CGAGGAAUAUUGCCCAAUGGGGGAAGCCCUGAGGCAGCAACGCCGCGUGAACGAAGACGGCCUUCGGGUUGUAAAGUUCUUCUCUGGGGGACGAUGAUGACGGUACCCCAGGAAUAAGUUCCGGCUAACUACGUGCCAGCAGCCGCGGUAAAACGUAGGGGACAAGCGUUAUCCGGAUUUACUGGGCGUAAAGCGCACGUAGGCGGUGAGGUAAGUUGGCCGUGAAAGCUCCCGGCUUAACUGGGAGAGGUCGGGCAAAACUGCCCCACUUGAGGCUGAGAGAGGAGAGCGGAAUUCCCGGUGUAGUGGUGGAAUGCGUAGAUAUCGGGAGGAACACCAGUGGCGAAGGCGGCUCUCUGGCUCAGAACUGACGCUGAGGUGCGAAAGCGUGGGGAGCGAACGG
This 403-nucleotide ribosomal RNA is filed under the name uncultured bacterium. RNAcentral describes it as "bacterial SSU rRNA". It matches the Rfam family "Bacterial small subunit ribosomal RNA", at positions 355 to 775 of the family's 1533-position model. The record is from RNAcentral.